This is a non-coding RNA of Schistosoma margrebowiei, 45 nucleotides long. NCBI's taxonomy places the organism in Eukaryota, Metazoa, Platyhelminthes, Trematoda, Strigeidida, Schistosomatidae. The record is from Rfam.
AGCCACUUGACGAGUCACAAAUAGAAUGAAACACGUGUCGUGGAU